RNAcentral lists this ribosomal RNA (465 nucleotides) under uncultured bacterium. Its description in RNAcentral is "partial 16S ribosomal RNA". It matches the Rfam family "Bacterial small subunit ribosomal RNA", at positions 28 to 507 of the family's 1533-position model. The record is from RNAcentral.
GACGAACGCUGGCGGCGUGCUUAACACAUGCAAGUCGAACGGAAAGGCCCUGCUUGCAGGGUACUCGAGUGGCGAACGGGUGUGUAACACGUGGGUGAUCUGCCCUGCACUUCGGGAUAAGCCUGGGGAACUGGGUCUAAUACCGGAUAGGAGCCAUUUUUAGUGUGAUGGUUGGAAAGUUUUUUCGGUGUAGGAUGAGCUCGCGGCCUAUCAGCUUGUUGGUGGGGUAAUGGCCUACCAAGGCGGCGACGGGUAGCCGGCCUGAGAGGGUGGACGGCCACAUUUGGACUGAGAUACGGCCCAGACUCCUACGGGAGGCAGCAGGGGGGAAUAUUGCACAAUGGGCGCAAGCCUGAUGCAGCGACGCCGCGUGGGGGAUGACGGCCUUCGGGUUGUAAACUCCUUUCGCUAGGGACGAAGCUUUUUGUGACGGUACCUAGAUAAGAAGCACCGGCUAACUACGUG